RNAcentral lists this transfer RNA (58 nucleotides) under Trichobilharzia regenti. It matches the Rfam family "tRNA", at positions 1 to 56 of the family's 71-position model. Rfam says of the family: Transfer RNA (tRNA) molecules are approximately 80 nucleotides in length. Lineage: Eukaryota; Metazoa; Platyhelminthes; Trematoda; Strigeidida; Schistosomatidae. The record is from Rfam by way of RNAcentral.
GGGCCUGUGGCGCAAUGGAUAACGCGCCUGACUACGGAUCAGGAGAUUCCAGGUUCGA